UUGAGUUGUCUUCCCAGGGUGACUGUUGC
Molecule: non-coding RNA, 29 nt
Filed under: Rattus norvegicus (Norway rat)
Lineage: Eukaryota; Metazoa; Chordata; Mammalia; Rodentia; Muridae
Source: RNAcentral